Myotis lucifugus (little brown bat) is the source of this 75-nucleotide non-coding RNA. Lineage: Eukaryota; Metazoa; Chordata; Mammalia; Chiroptera; Vespertilionidae. The record is from Rfam.
GGCGGUUCUCCAGUGAUGCACCCUGGAAUUGGGCUCUCUCCUCUCUGGUUCCAGGUGUAUCACCCGAGAACCACC